Molecule: ribosomal RNA, 426 nt
Filed under: uncultured Verrucomicrobiota bacterium
Lineage: Bacteria; Pseudomonadati; Verrucomicrobiota
Description: bacterial SSU rRNA
Rfam family: Bacterial small subunit ribosomal RNA
Source: RNAcentral
AGUCGAGAAUUUUUCUCAAUGGGGGAAACCCUGAAGGAGCGACGCCGCGUGGGGGAUGAAUGGCUUCGGCCCGUAAACCCCUGUCAUUUGCGAUCAAACCUUACGACCUAACACGUCGUGAGCUGAUAGUAGCGGAAGAGGAAGGGACGGCUAACUCUGUGCCAGCAGCCGCGGUAAUACAGAGGUCCCAAGCGUUGUUCGGAUUCACUGGGCGUAAAGGGUGCGUAGGCGGUCGGGUAAGUCUGACGUGAAAUCUUCAAGCUCAACUUGGAAACUGCGUCGGAUACUAUUCGGCUAGAGGAAUGGAGGGGAGACUGGAAUACUUGGUGUAGCAGUGAAAUGCGUAGAUAUCAAGUGGAACACCAGUGGCGAAGGCGAGUCUCUGGACAUUUCCUGACGCUGAGGCACGAAAGCCAGGGGAGCAAA